GGUGGCGACCAUACCAUACCGGUUCUCGUCUGAUUGCCGAAAUUAAGCAACGUCGGGACUGGGCUAGUAUUUGCAUAGGUGGCCGGCUGGGAAUACCGGGUGUUGCGGCCA
RNAcentral lists this ribosomal RNA (111 nucleotides) under Echinostoma caproni. The record is from RNAcentral. Lineage: Eukaryota; Metazoa; Platyhelminthes; Trematoda; Plagiorchiida; Echinostomatidae.